RNAcentral lists this ribosomal RNA (492 nucleotides) under uncultured bacterium. RNAcentral's name for it is "partial 16S ribosomal RNA". It matches the Rfam family "Bacterial small subunit ribosomal RNA", at positions 29 to 507 of the family's 1533-position model. The record is from RNAcentral.
AGUGAACGCUGGCGGUAUGCCUAACACAUGCAAGUCGAACGGCAGCACAGUAAGAGCUUGCUCUUACGGGUGGCGAGUGGCGGACGGGUGAGGAAUACAUCGUAAUCUACUUUUUCGUGGGGGAUAACGUAGGGAAACUUACGCUAAUACCGCAUACGACCUACGGGUGAAAGCAGGGGAUCUUCGGACCUUGCGCGAUUGAAUUAGCCGAUGUCGGAUUAGCUAGUUGGCUGGGUAAAGGCCCACCAAGGCGACGAUCCGUAGCUGGUCUGAGAGGAUGAUCAGCCACACUGGAACUGAGACACGGUCCAGACUCCUACGGGAGGCAGCAGUGGGGAAUAUUGGACAAUGGGCGCAAGCCUGAUCCAGCCAUACCGCGUGGGUGAAGAAGGCCUUCGGGUUGUAAAGCCCUCUUGUUGGGAAAGAAAAGCAGCAGGUUAAUACCCCGCUGUUCUGACGGUACCCAAAGAAUAAGCACCGGCUAACUUCGUG